This 429-nucleotide ribosomal RNA is filed under the name Chloroflexota bacterium. Its description in RNAcentral is "Chloroflexi bacterium partial 16S ribosomal RNA". It matches the Rfam family "Bacterial small subunit ribosomal RNA", at positions 355 to 776 of the family's 1533-position model. The record is from RNAcentral. Lineage: Bacteria; Bacillati; Chloroflexota.
UGGGGAAUAUCGCACAAUGGGCGCAAGCCUGAUGCAGCCAUGCCGCGAGUAUGAAGAAGGCCUUCGGGUUGUAAAGUACUUUCAGUCGGGAGGAAGGUGGUAAGGCUAAUAACCUUAUCAAUUGACGUUACCGACAGAAGAAGCACCGGCUAACUCCGUGCCAGCAGCCGCGGUAAUACGGAGGGUGCAAGCGUUAAUCGGAAUUACUGGGCGUAAAGCGCACGCAGGCGGUUGAUUGAGUCAGAUGUGAAAUCCCCGGGCUUAACCCGGGUAUUGCAUCUGAUACUGGUCAGCUAGAGUCUUGUAGAGGGGGGUAGAAUUCCAUGUGUAUCGGUUAAAUGCGUAGAGAUGUGGAGGUAUACCGGUGGCGAAGGCGGCCCCCUGGACAACGCCUGACGCUCAAGUGCGAAAGCGUGGGGAGCUAACAGG